AGGACAGAAAAGACUGUCUCAAAAUAAUACAAUUUAAAAAUUACAAAAGCUACUGCUCACCCCUGCGGCCUUGCUUAGGAGGCUCUGAUGGGUGCCUCUCAGUGAGGAGAAAGAGCCCAGAGCCUCUGUAUCCUGAGGCCAGCGCCCUGCCCACCCCGCAGCUCCCCGAACGCAACGCAGGCCUCCUCAGGGCCAUCUGUUCUUGGAUGUGUCCAGUGACUUUCCUUUGCCGGCUCAAGAGGUGCUGGUGGUGUCACUGGGUAGUUGGUGAGAGGUGCUGGUGGUGUCACUGGGUACUCGGUGAGAGGUGCAGGUGGUGUCACUGGGUAGUUGGUGAGAGGUGCUGGUGGUGUCACUGGGUACUCGGUGAGAGGUGCUGGUGCUGUCACUGGGUACUUGGUGAGAGGUGCUGGUGCUGUCACUGGGUACUUGAGGUGCUGGUGCUCACUGGGUACUUGGUGAGAGGUGCUGGUGCUGUCACUGGGUACUUGGUGAGAGGUGCUGGUGCUGUCACUGGGUACUUGGUGAGAGGUACAGGUGGUGUCACUGGGUAGUUGGUGAGAGGUGCUGGUGCUGUCACUGGGUACUUGGUGAGAGGUGCUGGUGGUGUCAGUGGGUACUCAGUGAGAGGUGCUGGUGCUGUCACUGGGUACUUGGUGAGAGGUGCAGGUGGUGUCACUGGGUAGUUGGUGAGAGGUGCUGGUGCUGUCACUGGGUACUUGGUGAGAGGUGCUGGUGGUGUCACUGGGUACUCGGUGAGAGGUGCUGGUGCUGUCAUUGGGUACUUGGUGAGAGGUGCAGGUGGUGUCACUGGGUAGUUGGUGAGAGGUGCUGGUGGUGUCACUGGGUAGUUGGUGAGAGGUGCUGGUGCUGUCACUGGGUACUUGGUGAGAGGUGCUGGUGGUGUCACUGGGUACUUGGUGAGAGGUGCAGGUGCUGUCACUGGGUAGUUGGUGAGAGGUGCUGGUGGUGUCACUGGGUACUUGGUGAGAGGUACUGGUGGUGUCACUGGGUACUUGGUGAGAGGUGCAGGUGCUAUCACUGGGUAGUUGGUGAGAGGUGCUGGUGGUGUCACUGGGUACUUGGUGAGAGGUGCAGGUGCUGUCACUGGGUACUUGGUGAAAGGUGCUGGUGGUGUCACUGGGUAGUUAGUGAGAGGUGCUGGUGCUGUCACUGGGUAGUUGGUGAGGUGCUGGUGCUGUCACUGAGUACUUGGUGAGAGGUACUGGUGCUGUCAUUGGGUAGUUGGUGAGAGGUGCUGGUGCUGUCACUGGGUAGUUGGUGAGAGGUGCUGUCACUGAGUAGUUGGUGAGGUGCUGGUGCUGUCACUGGGUAGUUGGUGAGAGGUGCUGGUGCUGUCACUGGGUAGUUGGUGAGAGGUGCUGGUGCUGUCACUGGGUACUUAGUGAGAGGUGCUGGAGGUAUCACUGGGUAGUUGGUGAGAGGUGCUUGUGCUGUCACUGGGUAGUUGGUGAGAGGUGCUGGUGCUAUCACUGGGUACUUAGAGGUGCUGGUGGUGUCAGUGGGUACUUGGUGAGAGGUGCUGAUGCUGUCACUGGGUACUUGGUGAGAGGUGCUGGUGCUGUCAUUGGGUACUUAGUGAGAGGUGCUGGUGCUAUCACUGAGUAGUUCGAGGCACUCACUGCCCAGGGCCACGUCCUACAGGAGGUAGGGCCUCUCACGUGUCCUCCGGCAGGGACCAAUGUCUGUGGCUUCCGCACAGUGACCUUGCAGUGGCCUUGGGCUCUGAACUUUGUCACAUCCUGUUGGCUCAGGCUCCCACCCGCAGCACAGCCGAGCUCCCCGCAAGCCUCUUGGGUGUCUUUCCCAGACAGCUGGGGGUGGCGGCCUGGGCUGGGGAGGCAGGGACGCCCAGCCCCUCCAUGUGGGCCUGCUGUCCCAGCCAGCCUUGGCAGGCUCUGGCCUGCGCUCUCCCCUUUCCGCUGCCCCUGCUGCCCCUGUCAGGCUGAGACUGGACACAGUAUUUGCAGCCCCAGCCCCGGGGUCCUCAGCCAGCAGUGUGGACGGUUCAGCACGCUCCGCCUGGUCCCAGCGUUCUGGGAGACGAGACGAGACAAGUGCAGGUCAGAGAACAGCCCGCAGCAUCCUAACCCUGCAGCUCUCCGAGGUCUCGCCUGCCCACGUGUUUGCUGCCGACUUUCUGGUGAGAACGGGUGUGAGUCAGGGCAGGAGUGAGAACCACUUGGCCGCACUGCCCUUGGCACUGGUCUGUGCGAGCUGCAUUUCCCCAUUUUUUUUUAUUUUUUGAGACAGGGUCUCACUCUGUCA
Molecule: non-coding RNA, 2289 nt
Organism: Saimiri boliviensis boliviensis (Bolivian squirrel monkey)
Lineage: Eukaryota; Metazoa; Chordata; Mammalia; Primates; Cebidae
Source: RefSeq, a predicted model, not a curated record